GGGGCUGCUCCCAGUACGAGAGGACCGGAGUGGACGCAUCACUGGUGUUCGGGUUGUCAUGCCAAUGGCACUGCCCGGUAGCUAAAUGCGGAAGAGAUAAGUGCUGAAAGCAUCUAAGCACGAAACUUGCCCCGAGAUGAGUUCUCCCUGAGACUAUAAGUCUCCUGAAGGAACGUUGAAGACGACGACGUUGAUAGGCCGGGUGUGUAAGCGCAGCGAUGCGUUGAGCUAACCGGUACUAAUGAACCGUGAGGCUUAACCUUACAACGACAAAGAAGU
Molecule: ribosomal RNA, 279 nt
Filed under: Neisseria gonorrhoeae
Lineage: Bacteria; Pseudomonadati; Pseudomonadota; Betaproteobacteria; Neisseriales; Neisseriaceae
Description: partial 23S ribosomal RNA
Rfam family: Bacterial large subunit ribosomal RNA
Source: RNAcentral